Molecule: ribosomal RNA, 440 nt
Filed under: uncultured bacterium
Lineage: Bacteria
Description: partial 16S ribosomal RNA
Rfam family: Bacterial small subunit ribosomal RNA
Source: RNAcentral
CCUACGGGGGGCAGCAGUGGGGAAUAUUGGACAAUGGGGGAAACCCUGAUCCAGCGACGCCGCGUGAGUGAAGAAGUAUUUCGGUACGUAAAGCUCUAUCAGCAGGAAAGAAAAUGACGGUACCUGACUAAGAAGCCCCGGCUAACUACGUGCCAGCAGCCGCGGUAAUACGUAGGGGGCAAGCGUUAUCCGGAUUUACUGGGUGUAAAGGGAGCGUAGACGGCAGCACAAGUCUGGAGUGAAAGGCGGGGGCCCAACCCCCGGACUGCUCUGGACACUGUGUAACUUGAGUGCAGGAGAGGUAAGCGGAAUUCCUAGUGUAGCGGUGAAAUGCGUAGAUAUUAGGAGGAACACCAGUGGCGAAGGCGGCUUACUGGACUGUAACUGACGUUGAGGCUCGAAAGCGUGGGGAGCAAACAGGAUUAGAUACCCGAGUAGUC